RNAcentral lists this ribosomal RNA (376 nucleotides) under uncultured Streptococcus sp. RNAcentral's name for it is "bacterial SSU rRNA". It matches the Rfam family "Bacterial small subunit ribosomal RNA", at positions 1004 to 1382 of the family's 1533-position model. Lineage: Bacteria; Bacillati; Bacillota; Bacilli; Lactobacillales; Streptococcaceae. The record is from RNAcentral.
AGAUAGAAAGUUACUUCGGUACAUCGGUGACAGGUGGUGCAUGGUUGUCGUCAGCUCGUGUCGUGAGAUGUUGGGUUAAGUCCCGCAACGAGCGCAACCCCUAUUGUUAGUUGCCAUCAUUCAGUUGGGCACUCUAGCGAGACUGCCGGUAAUAAACCGGAGGAAGGUGGGGAUGACGUCAAACCAUCAUGCCCCUUAUGACCUGGGCUACACACGUGCUACAAUGGUUGGUACAACGAGUUGCGAGUCGGUGACGGCGAGCUAAUCUCUUAAAGCCAAUCUCAGUUCGGAUUGUAGGCUGCAACUCGCCUACAUGAAGUCGGAAUCGCUAGUAAUCGCGGAUCAGCACGCCGCGGUGAAUACGUUCCCGGGCCUU